CACUCCUGCGGGAGGCAGCAGUGGGGAAUUUUGGACAAUGGGCGAAAGCCUGAUCCAGCCAUGCCGCGUGCAGGAUGAAGGCCUUCGGGUUGUAAACUGCUUUUGUACGGAACGAAACGGCCUUUUCUAAUAAAGAGGGCUAAUGACGGAACCGUAAGAAUAAGCACCGGCUAACUACGUGCCAGCAGCCGCGGUAAUACGUAGGGUGCAAGCGUUAAUCGGAAUUACUGGGCGUAAAGCGUGCGCAGGCGGUUAUGUAAGACAGUUGUGAAAUCCCCGGGCUCAACCUGGGAACUGCAUCUGUGACUGCAUAGCUAGAGUACGGUAGAGGGGGAUGGAAUUCCGCGUGUAGCAGUGAAAUGCGUAGAUAUGCGGAGGAACACCGAUGGCGAAGGCAAUCCCCUGGACCUGUACUGACGCUCAUGCACGAAAGCGUGGGGAGCAAACAGGAUUAGAUACCCUUGUAGUCCCA
Molecule: ribosomal RNA, 472 nt
Filed under: uncultured organism
Description: partial 16S ribosomal RNA
Rfam family: Bacterial small subunit ribosomal RNA
Source: RNAcentral